This 407-nucleotide ribosomal RNA is filed under the name uncultured bacterium. Its description in RNAcentral is "partial 16S ribosomal RNA". It matches the Rfam family "Bacterial small subunit ribosomal RNA", at positions 30 to 526 of the family's 1533-position model. The record is from RNAcentral.
AUUGAACGCUGGCGGCAGGCCUAACACAUGCAAGUCGAGCGGAGCGGCGGACGGGCGAGUAAUGCCUAGGAAUCUGCCUGGUAGCGGGGGAUAACGUCCGGAAACGUGUGCUAAUAUCGCAUACUAUUUGAUUAGCUUAGGUCGGAUUGGCUAGUUGGUGGGGUAAAGGCCUACCAAGGCGACGAUCCGUAACUGGUCUGAGAGGCUGAUCAGUCACACUGGAACUGAGACACGGUCGAGACUCCGACGGAAGGCAGCAGUGGGGAAUAUUGGGCAAUGGGCGAAAGCCUGAUCCAGCCAUGCCGCGUGUGUGAAGAAGGUCUUCGGAUUGUAAAGCACUUUAAGUUGGGAGGCGUUACCAACAGAAUAAGCACCGGCUAACUUCGUGCCAGCAGCCGCGGUAAUAC